AGGACGAACGCUGGCGGCGCGCCUAACACAUGCAAGUCGAGCGAGAACCAGGGCUUGCCCUGGGGACAGCGGCGAACGGGUGCGUAACACGUGAGCAACCUGCCCCAAAGACCGGGACAACCCGAGGAAACUCGGACUAAUACCGGAUGCCCUCACCGGGUCGCAUGGUCUGGUGAGGAAAUGGAUUCCGCUUUGGGAUGGGCUCGCGGUCUAUCAGCUUGUUGGUGGGGUAACGGCCUACCAAGGCGACGACGGAUAGCUGGUCUGAGAGGACGAUCAGCCACACUGGGACUGAGACACGGCCCAGACUCCUACGGGAGGCAGCAGUGGGGAAUCUUGCGCAAUGGGGGAAACCCUGACGCAGCGACGCCGCGUGCGGGAUGAAGGCCUUCGGGUUGUAAACUCUUUUACCCGGGAAGAUAAUGACUGUACCGGGAGAAUAAGCUCCGGCUAACUUCGUGCCAGCAGCCGC
RNAcentral lists this ribosomal RNA (472 nucleotides) under uncultured bacterium. RNAcentral describes it as "SSU rRNA". It matches the Rfam family "Bacterial small subunit ribosomal RNA", at positions 26 to 518 of the family's 1533-position model. The record is from RNAcentral.